AGAACGAACGCUGGCGGCAGGCUUAACACAUGCAAGUCGAACGGCUGUAGCAAUACAGCAGUGGCAGACGGGUGAGUAACACGUGGGAACCUUCCUAGGGGUACGGAACAACUCAGGGAAACUUGAGCUAAUACCGUAUACGUCCGUAAGGAGAAAGAUUCAUCGCCCCUAGACGGGCCCGCGUCGGAUUAGGUAGUUGGUGGGGUAACGGCCUACCAAGCCUACGAUCCGUAGCUGAUCUGAGAGGAUGAUCAGCCACACUGGGACUGAGACACGGCCCAGACUCCUACGGGAGGCAGCAGUGGGGAAUCUUGGACAAUGGGCGCAAGCCUGAUCCAGCCAUGCCGCGUGAGUGAAGAAGGCCUUAGGGUUGUAAAGCUCUUUUACCAGGGACGAUAAUGACGGUACCUGGAGAAUAAGCCCGGCAAACUUCGUGCCAGCAGCCGC
RNAcentral lists this ribosomal RNA (447 nucleotides) under uncultured bacterium. RNAcentral's name for it is "SSU rRNA". It matches the Rfam family "Bacterial small subunit ribosomal RNA", at positions 26 to 518 of the family's 1533-position model. The record is from RNAcentral.